RNAcentral lists this ribosomal RNA (380 nucleotides) under uncultured cyanobacterium. RNAcentral's name for it is "bacterial SSU rRNA". It matches the Rfam family "Bacterial small subunit ribosomal RNA", at positions 376 to 770 of the family's 1533-position model. The record is from RNAcentral. Lineage: Bacteria; Bacillati; Cyanobacteriota.
CGAAAGCCUGACGGAGCAAUACCGCGUGAGGGAGGAAGGCUCUUGGGUCGUAAACCUCUUUUGUCAGGGAAGAACACAAUGACGGUACCUGACGAAUCAGCAUCGGCUAACUCCGUGCCAGCAGCCGCGGUAAUACGGAGGAUGCAAGCGUUAUCCGGAAUUAUUGGGCGUAAAGCGUCCGCAGGUGGCUUGUCAAGUCUGCUGUCAAAACCCAGGGCUCAACUCUGGUCAGGCAGUGGAAACUACAUAGCUAGAGUUCGGUAGGGGCAAAGGGAAUUCCCGGUGUAGCGGUGAAAUGCGUAGAGAUCGGGAAGAACACCGGUGGCGAAAGCGCUCUGCUGGGCCGCAACUGACACUGAGGGACGAAAGCUAGGGGAGCG